GGAUCUAUUAAAUGCUGGCAAGAACUCUCUAGGAAGAGAAGUGGGGAAUACAAAUUGAUGCAAGCCUGUGCACUCCCUUCCUAGAGAACAUCUGGAUUAAAUAUCGACUUCAGUAUGGGACCAUGGAUGUGACCUCCUUUUUCUCUAUCAGGCCUGCUAGAACCUCUUCAGGCACCAAUCAGACUGGGAGGAUUCUUGGAACUGGUUGUCAAAUCAAGAUAUUAUCCCAUCCCUAUGGAUCCCGCAAGCCUGGAACCAACAUCUGUUUUAUAUAUGAGGAAACCGAGGCCCAGGGAGGCGAAGUGCCUUGUAAAGGAUCACACGCUGGCCUGCUGCAGAGCCAAGGCUCCCAGUCUAGAGAAUCCAGACCCCUCCUCUAGGUGCUUAUUCCUUCCUUCACCAGCCAGCCAUGGUGCCAGGAAAAGGGCACAGGGCAUGGAGGCCGACAAUGGUAAUCUGCCACCCUGUUGGGAACUGCGGCCCAUAAGUGUGCUGAGUGUGGUGUUAUGGUUUGUGUCUAGAUGUCCCUCUAAAGCCUCAGGAUUUCAUAGGGUUUUUUCAGAGGUGGCUGAAUCUGCAGGGUGUGAUUGAUUCACAGUGCAGUGCUGGGAUUGGGUGUGAGUGCUACACCCAUCCGAGGGCAGGUGGCCUGCACACAAUGAAGGGACAGAAAGAGGCCUGUCUCUUUCUUCCUUGUUGCUUUUGCUGUCUUUUACACCAUGAGCUGUUUUUUGCCCAGCCACCCUGCCUUGGAGCCAGUAAAUUAUGUACUGAAACCUCUGUGUACUGUGAGUGAAAUAAACCUUCCCUUCUUUAACUUAGGGUGUGUGGUAUCUCAGUAACAAGAGAAGUAGCUAAGACAUGUGGCAACAGGAGAGGACUGGGGUGCCAGGCCAGGGAGGAGGAAGAGGAUGUCGUGGAAAGUGAUAUAUCCUAAUGUUGUCCCACCUAAUGUUGUAAGUGAUCUGGCCACUGCAUGACCUCAGAGCUGUUUGUAUGAGCAGUUUUGAGUCCUUCCCUGCCUAGGACAGAUCAUACCAUCUUUAUGCUUGCUUAGCUACUAGAUAGCUAAGUUAGGUAGAAAUGUUACAGGCAGUCAAACAGGGUUAGGCUCUCAAGAGUCAGUACAGAAGAUGAAAAUACAUUAAAACCGUGGGAAAUACACAUCUGUCAAAGGUCAAAUCUCAAGACAAAAGACAGAAUGACUACAUCAACAUACUUAUCCUUAGUGAGGAAAGAAGUGAUUGAUAUUCUAAAUAGGUAUGAUCACCUUGGGUGGGGGGCCAGGAAGAGUCACUGAAUCAAUCACUCCUUCCAGAAAAAGUCCCUGUUCCUUCCAUGGACAUUUGCUACGAGACUUGCUUCCCCAUUUCAUCCUGAUUUAAUCAAUAUUACUGAUGUGAUUAUAGUCAUAACCUUAUUGGUUCAUCAUAGUUUUGUCCCACCUCAUACUCAUUUUGUGAUUUCCUAUUGGAUCAAUGUUACUUAAGUGACUAUACUUAAUUAAUCUUAUUAAUUGAUUAUAGUUUUUGCCACCAUAGAUCUACCUCAACUCAUAAUUUUGCUCUAUAAAACUCCCUUGAGAAGCAAGGUCCUCAGUAACCCACUCGGGAACCCUUCUGUCAGGACUCUGUCUGUGUUUCUUAGACACAAGCUUUUCCCUCCCAAUAAAUAUACUUUCUUUCCCCAGUAAAUAUUUGCUGCUCUAAAUCUCCAUUGCUCCUAGAAUUCAUUUUUUUGAUUUUAGAGGACACGAACUCAGUGUAUAUUUCCCUUACAUUAUUUGGAUUAUUUGGUGGUUGCAUAUCAUCCCUGUGUCACUUGGAGGUCCCACUGAGAUAACUGGUUUGUUUCAUAGAUUCUGGACUGUGACUCAUUGAGGUAAUCAAAAUUUUUUUAUGUUUAAAAUUUUUAUCUAUAUCUUCAUCAGUUUCUUAUAACUGU
This is a long non-coding RNA of Cavia porcellus (domestic guinea pig), 1944 nucleotides long. RefSeq lists it as uncharacterized. Lineage: Eukaryota; Metazoa; Chordata; Mammalia; Rodentia; Caviidae. The record is from RefSeq and is a predicted model, not a curated record. The transcript is spliced from 3 exons.